Molecule: small RNA, 84 nt
Filed under: Pluralibacter gergoviae
Lineage: Bacteria; Pseudomonadati; Pseudomonadota; Gammaproteobacteria; Enterobacterales; Enterobacteriaceae
Description: Enterobacter gergoviae OmrA-B family
Rfam family: OmrA-B family
Source: Rfam by way of RNAcentral
CCCAGAGGUAUUGAUAGGUGAUGUCCUCCAGAUGGGGUGACAACCACAAUUACACCAACCUGCGCAGAUGCGCAGGUUUUUUUU